CACCGUAGCUUGCUACCGGACCUAACGGCGGACGGAUGAGUAAUGCUUACAAUCUGCCUAUUAGUGGGGGACAACAUCUCAAAGGGGAUGCUAAUACCGCAUACGUCCUACCGGAGAAAGCAGGGGAUCUUCCGACCUUGCGCUAGUAGAUGAACCUAACUCGGAUUAACUAGUUGGUGGGGUAAAGGCCUACCCAGGCGACGAUCUGUACCGGGUCUGACAGGAUGAUCCACCACACUGGGACUGAGACACGGCCCAGACUCCUACGGGAGGCAGCAGUGGGGAAUAUUGGACGAUGGGGGGAACCCUGAUCCAUCCAUGCCGCGUGUGUGAAGAAGGCCUUAUGGUUGUAUAGCACUUUAAGCGAGGAGGAAGCUACUUUAGUUAAUACCUAGAGAUAGUGGACGUUACUCGCAGAAUAAGCACCGGCUAACUCUGUGCCAGCAGCCGCGGUAAUACAGAGGGUGCGAGCGUUAAUCGGAUUUACUGGGCGUAAAGCGUGCGUAGGCGGCUUAUUAAGUCGGAUGUGAAAUCCCCGAGCUUAACUUGGGAAUUGCAUUCGAUACUGGUGAGCUAGAGUAUGGGAGAGGAUGGUAGAAUUCCAGGUGUAGCGGUGAGAUGCGUAGAGAUCUGGAGGAAUACCGAU
RNAcentral lists this ribosomal RNA (646 nucleotides) under Acinetobacter baumannii. RNAcentral describes it as "bacterial SSU rRNA". It matches the Rfam family "Bacterial small subunit ribosomal RNA", at positions 71 to 713 of the family's 1533-position model. Lineage: Bacteria; Pseudomonadati; Pseudomonadota; Gammaproteobacteria; Moraxellales; Moraxellaceae. The record is from RNAcentral.